AGAGUUUGAUCCUGGCUCAGAACGAACGCUGGCGGCGUGGAUAAGACAUGCAAGUCGAACGCUUAUCCCUGCGUAGCAAUACGUGGGGGUAGGAGUGGCGCAAGGGUGCGUAACACGUGGGUAAUUUGCCAUGAAGUCCGGGAUAACCUGCUGAAAGGCGAGCUAAUACCGGAUGUGGAAAUUGGAAGGCAUCUUUUGAUUUCUGAAGUUGGGGACCGCAAGGCCUGACGCUUUAUGAUAAGCCCGCGGCCUAUCAGCUAGUUGGUGAGGUAACGGCUUACCAAGGCUAAGACGGGUAGCUGGUCUGAGAGGACGACCAGCCACACUGGAACUGAGACACGGUCCAGACACCUACGGGUGGCAGCAGUCGAGAAUUUUUCUCAAUGGGCGCAAGCCUGAAGGAGCGACGCCGCGUGGGGGAUGAAGGGUUUCGAUCCGUAAACCCCUGUCAUUUGCGAACAAACCCUGAGGUUUAAGAGAUAUCAGGCUGAUUGUAGCGAAAGAGGAAGGGACGGCUAACUCUGUGCCAGCAGCCGCGGUAAUACAGAGGUCCCAAGCGUUGUUCGGAUUCACUGGGCGUAAAGGGUGCGUAGGUGGCCUGGUAAGUUCGAUGUGAAAUCUCCGGGCUUAACCCGGAAAUGGCAUUGAAUACUAUUGAGCUGGAGGUUUGGAGGGGGGACUGGAAUUCUCGGUGUAGCAGUGAAAUGCGUAGAUAUCGAGAGGAACACCAGUGGCGAAGGCGAGUCCCUGGACAACACCUGACACUGAGGCACGAAAGCUAGGGGAGCAAACAGGAUUAGAUACCCUAGUAGUCC
RNAcentral lists this ribosomal RNA (815 nucleotides) under uncultured bacterium. RNAcentral's name for it is "bacterial SSU rRNA". It matches the Rfam family "Bacterial small subunit ribosomal RNA", at positions 8 to 796 of the family's 1533-position model. The record is from RNAcentral.